This 247-nucleotide ribosomal RNA is filed under the name uncultured bacterium. RNAcentral's name for it is "partial 16S ribosomal RNA". It matches the Rfam family "Bacterial small subunit ribosomal RNA", at positions 356 to 594 of the family's 1533-position model. The record is from RNAcentral.
AGGGAAUCUUCGGCAAUGGGGGCAACCCUGACCGAGCAACGCCGCGUGAGUGAAGAAGGUUUUCGGAUCGUAAAGCUCUGUUGUAAGUCAAGAACGGGUGUGAGAGUGGAAAGUUCACACUGUGACGGUAGCUUACCAGAAAGGGACGGCUAACUACGUGCCAGCAGCCGCGGUAAUACGUAGGUCCCGAGCGUUGUCCGGAUUUAUUGGGCGUAAAGCGAGCGCAGGCGGUUUGAUAAGUCUUGAA